ACAGGAAAAGAACAGGAAAAGGAUUCAAGGAUGUGCUUUUAAAAUGACAGUCUUCUAGCAUGAAUCUGCAAUAAAAAGAGGUUUCAAUAGAAGUGUGUUUUUUACUUCAGGAAAUAUCUUUCUCCCAGAAUCUCUACAGACUUUCCCAGCUGUAUUCCAAGGUCAUGUUCAACUUUCAAGAUCUGAUUUCACGUAUUUAUGGACAUGCUUCAGAUAACAAAUCCCUGAAGAGAAGCACUGGCAUUUCAUGUCAGCACUGAAAUUAGAGGAUGAUGUGUUACUUUGCUCUUGUGGUUUUUGAUCAACUUAGCAACAAGGCAUUUAACUCCAUCUAAAUCUCUAGAGUGUUGUGGACUCCUCCAGGACAGAACCAUAAACCAAGAGAUUCACUUUCUGCAGAAAAUGAUAAUAAAAAUCAAGAAAAAAUAUAAUUCCGAUUUCACAGGAAAUAUCACACUACAUGGUCUUAGGAAAGCUUGCAGAUCUGUUUACUAGUUAAGUAAUUGGUUUUUUUUUCUCUGAAAGAUAAUUUUUUCCUGGUUUGUUGUGACCUAAUGCUCAUUAAUUGCUUAAUGGUCAGAAACUCGAUGAUCCUCCUUUUAUGAAAAAAUGUUGAAAAGAGCGUGGGAUAGGAGAUAUCCAGAAAAAGAUUGUUCAUUCUCAUAUACAAACUCAUCUCCUUGUUUCUGAGCACAAAAUAUGUAAAGGCAGCCACAUGUUUACCUCCAGGAAGGCCAAUACUGCAAGAGAUUAGAGCUGCCUCUUGGGAUGUAUUUCCUGUUCUUUUGCCACCUCUCCUUCUCAAGUGUUCCUAGCAGUGCAGCUCCUUGCAAAGCCUUCCAUCAGGUAGAUCAAAUAGUAGUUUUAAUCAAGAGUUGACCCAUCUUCAAUCUACUCAAUCUCUCUCCUUCUUAGAGUCUGGGUUCCAGUCCUGAGAAUCACCUCCUGGUGUCGUUUCUUCCUUCACAGCACCUUGUUGACAAACAGCCACUGAAGGGAAUGGUGCAAAUCACUAUCACUUACAAAUUGCAAGUAAACUACAUGAUCUUCCAAGGCAUCAACCAAUCUUGUUCUCAGGUAUCUUUAAAAAUGUUCAUGGAUCCUGCAAUAUACAACUAACUCUUUUUCUGUACUUUAUAUUUUAUCCAAAGUCUUAAUUUGAUAAAGUUGCAAAGUGUUAACAUUAUUAUUCCUCUGCCGUUCUUUUCUCACAUAAGAAUGACUACAGUUUCUUAUUUUCCUCUUGACAAACUUUGUUUAAGCACUGUAGUGUUUUCUGUUAUUAUCAUCCGCAUCUUAAAACAAAGUGAAGGAGAGAGGGGCCUC
This 1326-nucleotide long non-coding RNA is filed under the name Anas platyrhynchos platyrhynchos (common mallard). RNAcentral describes it as "lncRNA (ENSAPLG00000016579.1)". Lineage: Eukaryota; Metazoa; Chordata; Aves; Anseriformes; Anatidae. The record is from RNAcentral.